Molecule: ribosomal RNA, 194 nt
Filed under: uncultured bacterium
Lineage: Bacteria
Description: partial 16S ribosomal RNA
Rfam family: Bacterial small subunit ribosomal RNA
Source: RNAcentral
CCUACGGGAGGCAGCAGUGGGGAAUAUUGGACAAUGGGCGAAAGCCUGAUCCAGCCAUGCCGCGUGUGUGAAAAAGGUCUUCGGAUUGUAAAGCACUUUAAGUUGGGAGGAAGGGCAGUAAGAUAAUACCUUGCUGUUUUGACGUUACCGACAGAAUAAGCACCGGCUAACUCUGUGCCAGCAGCCGCGGUAAU